This 445-nucleotide ribosomal RNA is filed under the name uncultured soil bacterium. RNAcentral describes it as "bacterial SSU rRNA". It matches the Rfam family "Bacterial small subunit ribosomal RNA", at positions 26 to 518 of the family's 1533-position model. The record is from RNAcentral.
AGAACGAACGCUGGCGGCAUGCCUAACACAUGCAAGUCGAACGAGAUCUUCGGGUCUAGUGGCGCACGGGUGCGUAACGCGUGGGAAUCUGCCCUUUGGUUCGGAAUAACAGUUGGAAACGACUGCUAAUACCGGAUGAUGACGAAAGUCCAAAGAUUUAUCGCCAGAGGAUGAGCCCGCGUAGGAUUAGCUAGUUGGUGUGGUAAAGGCGCACCAAGGCGACGAUCCUUAGCUGGUCUGAGAGGAUGAUCAGCCACACUGGGACUGAGACACGGCCCAGACUCCUACGGGAGGCAGCAGUGGGGAAUAUUGGACAAUGGGCGAAAGCCUGAUCCAGCAAUGUCGCGUGAGUGAUGAAGGCCUUAGGGUUGUAAAGCUCUUUACCCGGAUGAUAAUGACAGUACCGGAGAAUAAGCUCCGGCUAACUCCGUAGCCGAGCGGCCGC